GGGCUUACGCAGCGUCCUGCAGUCGAGCGGUACAGGGGAAGCUUGCUUCUCUCUGACAAGCGCCGGACAGGUGAGAAAUGUGUGGGGAUCUGCCCCAUAUAGGGGGAUAACUACUGGAAACGGGGGGUAUUACCCCACAAUCUCUCAAGAGCCCAGCACGGGAACUCCUCUCCUUGUGCUCUCUCAUAAGCCCCUAUGGGAUAUUCUCUUAUGUGAGGUGAUGGGUCUCCUCUGCGACAAUACCUCUCUGUGCUGAGAGAAUAAUCUCCCCCACUGUGACUGAGACACGGCCCCCACACCCCCAGGAGGCGCCACUGGGGAAAAUUGUGCACUGGGCGCACGGAUUCCUGAGGCGCCCCUGUGCCGUGUGUGAAAAAAGCCCUUUGGGUGUGAAGUACUUUUUCUCCGGAGAAAAGGGUGAUUGCUAUUAUCCUCUUCUCUUGUGAUUACCCCCACAAAAAACACCGCCUAUCUCUCCGCCCCCACCCGCGCUAUUACAGAGAGUGCGCGCGUGAUUCUCAAUAAUUGUGCGUAUAGCGCACACCAGACGCGCGGGAUAAUGUUACAUAUGUGAUCCCCCGCUUUCUUGGGAAAGUCGUCUCUGACUCUGCUGCUCUAGACUCGUGUAGGGGGUAUAAUUUAUGUGUGUCGCUGUGAUGUGUAUAGAUAUGUAGAAAUAUAGGUGUGGCGAGCGCGCCCCCGGACACAGACAGACACUCUCGUGCGCGAGCGUGGUGAGCGCAACGAUAUAGAUUCCCUUGUAGUCCAAGCUGGAAACCGAGUCCGAUUAGAAGGUUUUGUCCUGGAGGGGUGCCUUUCGGAGUUAACGCGUUAAUUCGCCCCCUGGGGGAGUCCGGCCCCAAGGUUAAAAUUCAAAUGAAUUGCGGGGGGCCCCCCCAACCGGUGGACCAUGGGGUUUAUUUGGAUGCAACGGGAAGACCCUUCCUUAUUUUUGCCUUCCACGGAUCUUAGCAGAGAUGCUGUGGUCCUUUCGGGAAGUCUGAGCCAGGUCUGCCAGGGUGUUGUUCAGUUCGUGUUGGGAAAUUUUGGGUUAAUUCCCCCAACGAGCCCAACCCUUUUCUUUUUUUCCCACCGAUUCGGUCGGGAACUCAAAGGAGACUGCCGGUGAUAAACCGGAGGAAGGUGGGGAUGACGUCAAGUCAUCAUGGCCCUUACGAGUAGGGCUACACACGUGCUACAAUGGCGGAUACAAAGAGAAGCGACCUCGCGAGAGCAAGCGGAACUCAUAAAGUACGUCGUAGUCCGGAUUGGAGUCUGCAACUCGACUCCAUGAAGUCGGAAUCGCUAGUAAUCGUAGAUCAGAAUGCUACGGUGAAUACGUUCCCGGGCCUUGUACACACCGCCCGUCACACCAUGGGAGUGGGUUGCAAAAGAAGUAGGUAGCUUAACCUUCGGGAGGGCGCCAUACAGCUGUUGAUUCCGGACUCG
RNAcentral lists this ribosomal RNA (1449 nucleotides) under Providencia sp. RNAcentral's name for it is "partial 16S ribosomal RNA". It matches the Rfam family "Bacterial small subunit ribosomal RNA". Lineage: Bacteria; Pseudomonadati; Pseudomonadota; Gammaproteobacteria; Enterobacterales; Morganellaceae. The record is from RNAcentral.